UGGAAAGCCAAAGGGGACCCCCGCUAAAAUACAUAUACUUAUAUAGUAAAUAUCGGGAUUGUCAUUUUUCGCGGAACUUUCACUUUCCGCGAAAAACCAAUGCCAGCAUGGCCAUAAAACACUACAUACAAAUCGAAAUCUAAAAAGCGCGGAACUUUCAUAGAUUUUCCGUCGGAGCAAUUAUUUUUCAACCCUGUAGAAAAAGCGGGCUCAAUUAAUCGCGCGGAACGUUAUUUAUCUACUCUGUACAAAUAGUAGUGUUUAAAAUCGCGCGGAGAUUGUAGAAUGCUAUUUUAAGAAGUCUAUUAAAGAGAGAAAAUCCAGUAAAUACCAGAUCCAAAAAGCGCGGAACACAAAUAUCGUCCGCGAAAAUUAAGCAUUGAAUUACUGUACAAAUCUCGGGUUGUUAGGUGUUAGAAUCCCUAGUUACCCGAAAAAUUUGAUUGGAUCCGAUACUUAGAAAUAACCAAUCAGAUACUUUGUAACAAAUGCAACACAAUCAGUGCGUUCAGUAAGUAUAACGUUUCAAGAUGGCGGAGCGAAUUGCAUGGUUAUUGUUACAAUUACGAUGGAUUCGCAGAUAAUUCGGAAAUAGAUCAGAUUGGGAUCAAUAACUGUAUUGCAUACGAUCAUUUACAUGUAUUACCAGGUGUGUGUUGCCAGUAAUGGUUGAAGAUAUGCCAAACAAAUUGUGCCUCUCUAUACAGACAGAUUUCAGGUCUCAAUUUCGACUUCAAAGGUCAACAUAUCACUGAUAUCAGGAAUUCUGUACAACUGUGGAACCAUGUAUGGUACGUGACCGCACAAUGUUGGUUGGCAAAAGGAUAUUGGAAUAAGCAAAGGUAAAUUGUAUGUGAAGGAGUCUUGACAAUUGCAAAUAUAGUUAGUUUUUUUGUAAGGCUCGCAGAAAGUGACCCUAGCCUUCAUAUAUAAAUAAAAAGCUGAAAGAGUAUUUAUGAAAAAUCGUGUAAUCAAGUUUGCAAUAUGUUACAUUUUAUUUAUAAGCUCAUCUUUUUUUUUUUGAAAAAAAAAGAGAUAUUGUCAUCAUCUUGGCGUCUGCGUCUGCGUCGGUGUCGGCGUCCGAUUAAGUUUUGUGUUUAGGUCCACUUUUCUCAUAAAGUAUCAAGUAUAAAACUUAUUUACUUACUACCAUGAGGGGACUGGGCAGGCAAAGUUAGAUAACUCUGGCGUGCAUUUUGACAGAAUUAUGUGCCCUUCUUAUACUUAGAAAAUUGAAAAUUUGGUUAAGUUUUGUGUUUAGGUCCACUUUAUUCCUACAGUAUCAAAGCUAUUGCUUUCAUACUUGCAACACUUACUAUCAUAAAGGGACUGUGCAGACAAAGUUAUGUAACUCUGACUGGCAUUUUGAAAGUAUUAUGUGCCCUUUUUAUUCUUAGAAAAUUGAAAAUUUUGUUAAGUUUUGUGUUUUGGUCCACUUUACUCCUAAAGUAUCAUAGAUAUUGCUUUCAUACUGGGAACACUCGCAAAUUAUCAUAAGGGGACAGUACAGGACAAGUUGAAUAACUCUGGUUGUCAUUUUGACAGAAUUAUGGUCCUUUUCUUACUUAGUAACUUUGAAUAUAUGGUUAAAUUUUGUGUUUUGAUCUACUUUACUUCUCAAGU
This is a long non-coding RNA of Dreissena polymorpha, 1623 nucleotides long. RefSeq lists it as uncharacterized. The transcript has 3 exons. NCBI's taxonomy places the organism in Eukaryota, Metazoa, Mollusca, Bivalvia, Myida, Dreissenidae. The record is from RefSeq and is a predicted model, not a curated record.